This 465-nucleotide ribosomal RNA is filed under the name Vreelandella stevensii. RNAcentral describes it as "partial 16S ribosomal RNA". It matches the Rfam family "Bacterial small subunit ribosomal RNA", at positions 338 to 795 of the family's 1533-position model. The record is from RNAcentral. Lineage: Bacteria; Pseudomonadati; Pseudomonadota; Gammaproteobacteria; Oceanospirillales; Halomonadaceae.
CCUACGGGUGGCAGCAGUGGGGAAUAUUGGACAAUGGGGGGAACCCUGAUCCAGCCAUGCCGCGUGUGUGAAGAAGGCCCUCGGGUUGUGAAGCACUUUCAGUGAGGAAGAACGCCUGGUGGUUAAUACCCAUCAGGAAAGACAUCACUCACAGAAGAAGCACCGGCUAACUCCGUGCCAGCAGCCGCGGUAAUACGGAGGGUGCGAGCGUUAAUCGGAAUUACUGGGCGUAAAGCGCGCGUAGGUGGCUUGAUAAGCCGGUUGUGAAAGCCCCGGGCUCAACCUGGGAACGGCAUCCGGAACUGUCAAGCUAGAGUGCAGGAGAGGAAGGUAGAAUUCCCGGUGUAGCGGUGAAAUGCGUAGAGAUCGGGAGGAAUACCAGUGGCGAAGGCGGCCUUCUGGACUGACACUGACACUGAGGUGCGAAAGCGUGGGUAGCAAACAGGAUUAGAUACCCGAGUAGUC